GAUGAACGCUGGCGGCGUGCCUAAUACAUGCAAGUCGAGCGAACGGACGAGAAGCUUGCUUUUCUGAUGUUAGCGGCGGACGGGUGAGUAACACGUGGAUAACCUACCUAUAAGACUGGGAUAACUUCGGGAAACCGGAGCUAAUACCGGAUAAUAUUUUGAACCGCAUGGUUCAAAAGUGAAAGACGGUCUUGCUGUCACUUAUAGAUGGAUCCGCGCUGCAUUAGCUAGUUGGUAAGGUAACGGCUUACCAAGGCAACGAUGCGUAGCCGACCUGAGAGGGUGAUCGGCCACACUGGAACUGAGACACGGUCCAGACUCCUACGGGAGGCAGCAGUGGGGAAUCUUCCGCAAUGGGCGAAAGCCUGACGGAGCAACGCCGCGUGAGUGAUGAAGGUCUUCGGAUCGUAAAACUCUGUUGUUAGGGAAGAACAUAUGUGUAAGUAACUGUGCACAUCUUGACGGUACCUAAUCAGAAAGCCACGGCUAACUACGUG
Molecule: ribosomal RNA, 497 nt
Filed under: uncultured bacterium
Lineage: Bacteria
Description: partial 16S ribosomal RNA
Rfam family: Bacterial small subunit ribosomal RNA
Source: RNAcentral